Ochotona princeps (American pika) is the source of this 107-nucleotide small nuclear RNA. NCBI's taxonomy places the organism in Eukaryota, Metazoa, Chordata, Mammalia, Lagomorpha, Ochotonidae. The record is from Ensembl.
GUGCUCGCUUCAGCAGCACAUAUACUAAAAUUGGAAUGAUACAGAGAAGAUUAGCGUGAACCCUGUGCAAGGAUGACAUGCAAAUUUGUGAAGCGCUCCUUAUUUUU